UACGAAGGGGGCUAGCGUUGUUCGGAAUCACUGGGCGUAAAGGGCGCGUAGGCGGCCGAUCAAGUCGGGGGUGAAAGCCUGUGGCUCAACCACAGAAUGGCCUUCGAUACUGGUUGGCUCGAGACCGGAAGAGGUGAGUGGAACUGCGAGUGUAGAGGUGAAAUUCGUAGAUAUUCGCAAGAACACCAGUGGCGAAGGCGGCUCACUGGUCCGGUACUGACGCUGAGGUGCGAAAGCGUGGGGAGCAAACAGG
Molecule: ribosomal RNA, 253 nt
Filed under: uncultured bacterium
Lineage: Bacteria
Description: partial 16S ribosomal RNA
Rfam family: Bacterial small subunit ribosomal RNA
Source: RNAcentral